CAGCGCCACGAGUGGGGACCACAUUUAUUGGGCCUAAAGCGUCCGUAGCCUGUUUAGUAAAUCUUCUGCGAAAUCAUUGGGCUUAACUCAAUGUCGUGCAAAAGACACUGCUAAACUUGGAACCGGGAGGAGUCAGAGGUAUUCUGGGGGGCGCGGUAAAAUGCGAUAAUCCUCAGAGGACCGCCUGUGGCGAAGGCGUCUGACUAGAACGGGUUCGACGGUGAGGGACGAAAGCUAGGGGAGCAAACCGGAUUAGAUACCCGAGUAGUCC
This 271-nucleotide ribosomal RNA is filed under the name uncultured archaeon. Its description in RNAcentral is "partial 16S ribosomal RNA". It matches the Rfam family "Archaeal small subunit ribosomal RNA", at positions 477 to 747 of the family's 1478-position model. The record is from RNAcentral.